This 107-nucleotide ribosomal RNA is filed under the name Microcebus murinus (gray mouse lemur). Lineage: Eukaryota; Metazoa; Chordata; Mammalia; Primates; Cheirogaleidae. The record is from RNAcentral.
UAUGGCCAUACCACCUCCCUGAACGCGUCCAGUCUCGUCUGGUCCCAGACACUGAGCAGGCUCGGGCCUGGUUAGUACUUAGAUGGGAGAAAUUGGGUCAACCAUCA